This 2597-nucleotide long non-coding RNA is filed under the name Sus scrofa (pig). RNAcentral describes it as "lncRNA (ENSSSCG00035063604.1)". The record is from RNAcentral. Lineage: Eukaryota; Metazoa; Chordata; Mammalia; Artiodactyla; Suidae.
UUGAUUUUAAUUUUCUUCCUUAGUAAGUACAGAAACUUGUACAGAGCAUGCACUCAAGUGAAUUAGGGAAGAAGGGCUGUCCCAGCCUGCUGUGCUUGGGUGACAUGACAAGCGCCAUGUUGGAGGAAGGACAUCAUGAGCUGUACACGGCUGUAAAAUUCCCAAGAAGCUCAGGAAGGAAUGCAAUUCAGAGGCAGUGCAAAAAUAAGUACCUACUGUUCCUUCUCAGAGAAGGGAAAGGGAGAGAGACUAGCAAAAGGGAAGGAGGGAGGGAGGAAAAGAAAGAAGUCCCCAUUCAUUGAAUCCCUACCACGUGUUUCAGGAACAUUCCCAGACUUUAUCUACUGAAACUUCAAACAACCUGGUUAUCACAUGCCCCAUUUUACGGAUGAAGAAACUGAGAUUCAGAGAGGUUAAUUGCUUGAUGAAUAACACAUUAGUUCAAGAUGUAUCUGUGAUGUCCAAGACCAUUCCUUACGUCCAGGACAGGGGUUUGAAAAGUGUGGGUUCCAGAGUUCCUGUCGUGGCUCACUGGUUAACAAAUCUGACUAGGAACCACAAGGGAACUCCCCAGACCGUUACUCUUAACUGGGUUUUUUUCUCAUUCACCCAGCAGGAAUCCCCCAAAUCUUUUUUCCCCAAAAAUACAACGUGGCUGCUAACGUUUCAUUAUGUAAAACAAAUAUAGGAAGGUCCCUAGGAUGCCCUAAGUCGUGUCCCCCAGUAGCCAGAAAGGGGCACCACCUCACCCCACUUCCUGCUUCCUUUGGAACUGGUACCCUCCUUCAGGAAGCAGAAAGCAAGGAUUUAAGAGCACGUCUACACAGCCAGCUGGCUUUCUUUUCCAGAUCUGCCUCCAAAUGAGCAUUUCAGAACUUCCUUAAGGGAGACCUCCCUGCACCUUGUCACCCCACCAAGCCCAUGUGUAUUCACGGACUAAAAAGAAGCCCACUGCCCGAGAGCAUCACAGUCACGUGGCCAUGUCACAGCCUGCCAUGCCCCCUUGUCCCCAGCGGUGAGGGGGCAGGAGUGCUGUUUCCAAAGCAACCGAAACACUGUGCUUGACUGAUGCUGCAGGCAGAGAGCCCCAUGGGCACACAUGCAAACACACAGUCACACACCAGGACGGAGACACCUAGGCAGGCACAACUAAAGACACAUAUGCACGCAUUCAGAAGCGGAUCGCCCGCCUAUAUUGUAGGAACGGAUGACUGCUUUAAAAGAAACAAAUGGCAUCUCAUUUCUAACUCUGGCCAGAGAAGUUGGCUUUCCAAGGAUAUAUUUAGUUGAUUCCAUAUCUGUCCUUUAAUAUUUCUUAUGGGUAACUUGCGGGACGUUGAACCCAAAGCUCUGUAAAUGCCUGCUGAUCCCAUCUGAUCUAACUCAUCUCCCAUGUUAGCUGGGAAGGGCUGAGAAGGGGGAUUGGCCAGGGAUUACACCUGGCCAAAGAGAGGUGGCCCCUUUCUCCUAAGGCUUCAAUGAGUGACUCCCCAUGAGCAACCCACCCCCACGCUGCUGCUUCAUCCUCUUCUGAUCUUCUUCCCUAAAGCCCUGCUCUUGUUGGAAUUCCCCUCCCCAGAAAGGCAGAAACAUGAACCCACUGCCUGGUGUUAGAUUCUGCCAGCUGAAUGAGAGUCUAGGGCAAGGCUAGGAGAACAAAGUCUCAAAUCUACAUGGGGUAGGUCCAGAGGCAAAAAAUCAGCUCUGAAGAGCUGGGUCUGCCCCUAGGGUCAGGCAAGACACAAGGCGGAGCUGGGCAUCUGGGAGGGGGGCAGCAUUUGUCCAGCGCUGAUAUGCGCUGAUAUGCAGGGGAGCGGGCCAGAGCUAGAGCCCUUACAGCGCCUUUGCAGAUUUGGAAAAGGGCGCCCCCUUCUGUUUGAUGAGUGAAGCUAUGUUGGACUUCAGCUCCCACCCACCCACUCCUGGUAGCCCAGAACCAGUGUAGAACCUGUAAGAAGAGUCCACAGCCUUGGCCACUGGCCAAGGCAGCUGCGGAGUGCCAAUUCACAAACACUCUCUCUCCAUGAUCUUUUCUCAUGCCCAUAUUCCCCAGACCAAACAUCUCCUCAACCCGAAGAAUCAAAACCUUGAAGGGAGCUCUGUUCUGUGCAUGAAAAACCAAAGAGCAAGUAAUACUUUCUUCCUGGCCAUGCCCACAGCAUGUGGAAGUUCCCAGGACAGGGAUGGAACCCAUGCCACAGCAGUGACCAGAGCCAGAGCAGUGACAAUGUGGAUCCUUAACCUGCUGAGCCACCAGGGAACUGCAAGAGCAAGUUGUACUUUUUUUUUUUUUUUUAGCUUUUUAGUGCCACACCUGUAGCAUGUGGAGAUUCCCAGGCUAGGGGUCAAAUGAGAGCUGUAGCUGCUGGCCUACAACACAACCAGAGCAAUGUGGAAUCCAAACCACAUCUGCAACCUACACCACAGCUCACAGCAACACUGGAUCCUUAACCCAUCAAGCAAGGCUAGGAAUUGAACCUGCAUGCUCAUGGAUGCUAGUCAGAUUUGUUAACCAAUGAGUCACAGGAAUUCCGCAAGUAGUACUCUUGAGAGUCAGUAUGGUCGGGACCCCAGGCUCCACAGCAAGGAACCCAGAG